Molecule: ribosomal RNA, 301 nt
Filed under: uncultured Pyrobaculum sp.
Lineage: Archaea; Thermoproteati; Thermoproteota; Thermoprotei; Thermoproteales; Thermoproteaceae
Description: bacterial SSU rRNA
Rfam family: Bacterial small subunit ribosomal RNA
Source: RNAcentral
CGGGUUAACUCCGGGCAUGCAGCGGAGGUAAGACGGGUGGGGCGAGCGGUAAUAGGAAGUACUGGGCGUAGAGCGCGCGUAGGCGGCUUGUUAAGUCAGAUGUGAAAGCCCCGGGCUCAACCUGGGAAUUGCAUUUGAUACUGGCAGGCUAGAGUAUGGUAGAGGGUAGUGGAAUUCCAGGUGUAGCGGUGAAAUGCGUAGAUAUCUGGAGGAACAUCAGUGGCGAAGGCGGCUACCUGGACCAAUACUGACGCUGAGGUGCGAAAGCGUGGGGAGCAAACAGGAUUAGAUACCCCGGUAC